RNAcentral lists this long non-coding RNA (287 nucleotides) under Mytilus galloprovincialis (Mediterranean mussel). The record is from RNAcentral. Lineage: Eukaryota; Metazoa; Mollusca; Bivalvia; Mytilida; Mytilidae.
CGAUUCUGCUGCAAAUUCAUGCAGUUACCCCUGUUAGACUUUAUUUGCCUUACUAUUAUGAAAAAAACAAAUUAAAUGUGUUUAUUUUCAAAUUUAAAAAAAAAAUUACUUCAUAAGCUAAAAAGUUAUCAAAGGUACCAGGAUUAUAAUUUAGUAUGCCAGACGCAUGUUUCAUCUACAUAAGACUCAUCAGUGACGCUCAUAUCAAAACAUUUAUAAAACCAAACAAGUACAAAGUUGAAGAGCAUUGAGGAUUCAAAAUUCCAAAAAGUUGUGCCAAAUACGGC